AUUGAUUUGCAAUAUAUUUUUCGUUUUGCUCCUGAACAUGAUCAUGUUACAUCUAUUGCAUACACGAAUGUGAAAUGUAUGUUUAUCAUGAACAGUGUUCAGACAUGUACCUUUGAAAAUCAGCUCAUUAAAUGUGUAUGUCAACAGCUGUUUGACAUACCAAGUUAAGACUGUUGUUCAUUUGACGGUGAAAAGGUUAAGAUAUUUAUGUUUUACAAUUUAAAUAAAAUGCUUAUAAAUCCAGAAUCCAAAAUAUUUUUUAUUAAGGCUUAAUUAAAUACUCCUUAAAUGCAACAUUUUGGACUAAAUAUUGUUAAAAUUUUCCCAAAACCCCUGCCCACGAUAUUAAUUAAGAGCUUCCUCUUGUACCAAUAUAACUCUUCGUUGAAAAUUAGCCAGGAGCACAGCUGCCUAUGUGACUCAUGACCACAGUUAUCUGCCCCCCGUUGACCAAGAUCUGGAUGUUGUUACAUAUUAUUUAAAAAAAAUCUACUUUAACUUUCAAAUUAAUGUUUGAAAAUACAUGUAAUUCCAAAGGCUUGUAACUAAUGAAAGAAAGCCUCACUUUCCAGUCCAAAGUAGAAAUGGAGGGAUUUUUAAAAAAAUCAACAACAUUAAUUUGAUCAAUAAAAAAGCAUGGCCAGAUGCAAACAGGCUAAUUGCCACCACAUAUUGUUAGGUACUCCCAUGCACUGUCCAAUAAAGUAUGGGGUUGUCAAUGCCAGGUUUCCUGAUGGCAAGUGGUAUAACUUGCAUGUUCACAGGUUGGAAUACUGGGUUCAUCUCCAAGACUAGUGUUGGCUUUAUCGCAUCUAUCAUGACCCACUUUGUGUCACAGUGGAACACUUGAGUGUUGAACCCAUCAUUUGAAACUGGUAUACCAGAGAUGUGUUAACCAAGUCUGUUGUAAAGGCUAUAAGGGCUUUAAUGAUUGUAUGUGUGGUUAAGUGUUGUGCAUUUAUUAAUUAUCCUUUCUUAUUAUUUAAACAGGCCUGCAGUGGUCGAAAUUAGCACAAGCCCACAAGCCCAGCUCUGGUAAAAUGUCUUCCGGGCUUGCUCAAAUUCUGAAUUUUAUAUAGCAGGGCUUGUUAAAAAAAUUGAUGCCAAGCAAUAAGAUUUUUGGGCUUGUUCAUCCAAAAGUCUAAUCUCGAUGACUGGGCCUGGGUGGAAAUGAAGAACCAACCAGCCAGCUGGUCCACUGUACACCCUAGCUGAACUUGGUGUAUGCCAACAUGUGCCAACCUGGUUGCUGAAGCCACGGAUGUAUUUUCAAGGACAGAAACCUGUGCUGGUCAAAACGUGGUCUUAAGUUGAAUUCCGUUCUGUCUCUCGACAAGGUUUUCCGAGAAAGGAAUACUGUAUCCAAGGAAGCAGACAUUUUAUCUGGUGGACGAGGCUGAAUUGCCAGGGAAAGGAAGCGACAGUUUCGUGAGCAGGGCCCACCACUACUUUCAGCGCUAUGAUGUCGGUGAAAAACAUGCUAAGGUUCAUUUUGAUAAUGCAGUCGGUCAAAACAAGAACCACACUGUGCUUUGGUAUGCCAUGUGACAUGUAAUGACAGG
This is a long non-coding RNA of Mya arenaria, 1562 nucleotides long. RefSeq lists it as uncharacterized. The transcript has 4 exons. The record is from RefSeq and is a predicted model, not a curated record. NCBI's taxonomy places the organism in Eukaryota, Metazoa, Mollusca, Bivalvia, Myida, Myidae.